GACGAAUGCUGGCGGCGUGCCUAACACAUGCAAGUCGAGCGGAGUCAGUAAGAGGAAGUUUUCGGAUGGAAUCUUAUUGAUUUAGCGGCGGACGGGUGAGUAACGCGUGAGCGACCAACCUUGCACAGGGGGAUAACGGACCGAAAGGUUCACUAAUACCGCAUGAGACCAAGGUGUUGCAUGACACAGGGGUCAAAGGAGCAAUCCGGUGCAAGACGGGCUCGCGUCCGAUUAGGUAGUUGGAGGGGUAACGGCCCACCAAGCCUAUGAUCGGUAGCCGACCUGAGAGGGUGAUCGGCCACAUUGGAACUGAGAUACGGUCCAAACUCCUACGGGAGGCAGCAGUGGGGAAUAUUGGGCAAUGGGGGAAACCCUGACCCAGCAACGCCGCGUGAAGGAAGAAGGUUUUCGGAUUGUAAACUUCUGUCCUUGGUGAAGAGAAGAAGACGGUAGCCAAGGAGGAAGCCCCGGCUAACUACGUGCCAGCCGCCGCUGUAA
This 498-nucleotide ribosomal RNA is filed under the name uncultured bacterium. RNAcentral describes it as "partial 16S ribosomal RNA". It matches the Rfam family "Bacterial small subunit ribosomal RNA", at positions 28 to 523 of the family's 1533-position model. The record is from RNAcentral.